UGGAGCUGUGGUUUGUCAGAGAUCAGCUGUGAUUAUCUGGCAGCAGCACUGAAGUCCAACCCUCCCCUGAACAUCUGGAGCUGGGCUACAACAACAAGGCUGCAGGAUUCAGGAGUGAAGCAUCUGUGUGGUUUCCUGGAGAGUCCAGGCAUGUGGACUUGAAACUCUGAGAUUGGGGGGCUGUGAUUUGUCAGAGAUCAGCUGUGAUUAUCUGGCAGCAGCACUGAAGUCCAACCCCUCCCAUCUGAAACUUCUGCACCUGAAAUUCAAUAACCUGAAGGAUCCAGAUGUGAAGCAGCUGUCUGAUCUUCAGCAGAGUCAAGACUACAGACUGGAGAAUCUGGAGUGGGAACCAUGGCAUUAAACAGGACGGUGUGUGCUGAGAGAGGAGCAGCUGUGUCCUGAUGAUCCAGAGAGGUUGAAGCAGCAGCAGCUUGUGUGUAGAGAUGCUCUGACUGGGCCAUGUUACUGGGAGGUGGAGAGGAGAGCUUCAUCCAGCAGUGACUGACAGAGGAAUGAAGUGCAGAUGACUGUCAGUGCUGCAGAGUGAACUGAACACAUGCUCUCUGAAUCAUGUGAUAACCCCUUGGCUUCCGUACUUGCGCUUCGCUGUUCCACUUGAACGA
This is a long non-coding RNA of Oreochromis niloticus (Nile tilapia), 626 nucleotides long. RefSeq lists it as uncharacterized. The transcript has 3 exons. Lineage: Eukaryota; Metazoa; Chordata; Actinopteri; Cichliformes; Cichlidae. The record is from RefSeq and is a predicted model, not a curated record.